RNAcentral lists this ribosomal RNA (465 nucleotides) under uncultured bacterium. Its description in RNAcentral is "partial 16S ribosomal RNA". It matches the Rfam family "Bacterial small subunit ribosomal RNA", at positions 338 to 795 of the family's 1533-position model. The record is from RNAcentral.
CCUACGGGUGGCAGCAGUGGGGAAUAUUGCGCAAUGGUCGAAAGCCUGACGCAGCGACGCCGCGUGAGGGAUGAAGGUCUUCGGAUCGUAAACCUCUGUCAGCAGGGAAGAACGAUCCCUGUGCUAAUCAGCAGUGAAUUGACGGUACCUGCAAAGGCAGCACCGGCUAACUCCGUGCCAGCAGCCGCGGUAAUACGGAGGGUGCGAGCGUUAAUCGGAAUUACUGGGCGUAAAGCGCUCGUAGGCGGUAUGUCAAGUCAAGGGUGAAAUCCCCGCGCUCAACGUGGGAACUGCCUUUGAAACUGGCAAACUGGAGUGUGUGAGAGGAUAGUGGAAUUCCAGGUGUAGGAGUGAAAUCCGUAGAUAUCUGGAGGAACAUCAGUGGCGAAGGCGACUAUCUGGAACAUAACUGACGCUGAGGAGCGAAAGCGUGGGUAGCAAACAGGAUUAGAUACCCUAGUAGUC